AGUGAACGCUGGCGGUAGGCCUAACACAUGCAAGUCGAACGGCAGCACAGUAAGAGCUUGCUCUUACGGGUGGCGAGUGGCGGACGGGUGAGGAAUACAUCGGAAUCUACUUUUUCGUGGGGGAUAACGUAGGGAAACUUACGCUAAUACCGCAUACGACCUACGGGUGAAAGCAGGGGAUCUUCGGACCUUUCGCGAUUGAAUGAGCCGAUGUCGGAUUAGCUAGUUGGCGGGGUAAAGGCCCACCAAGGCGACGAUCCGUAGCUGGUCUGAGAGGAUGAUCAGCCACACUGGAACUGAGACACGGUCCAGACUCCUACGGGAGGCAGCAGUGGGGAAUCUUGGACAAUGGGCGCAAGCCUGAUCCAGCCAUACCGCGUGAGUGAAGAAGGCCUUCGGGUUGUAAAGCCCUUUUGUUGGGAAAGAACAGCAGCAGGUUAAUACCCCGCUGUUCUGACGGUACCCAAAGAGUAAGCACCGGCUAACUUCGUG
This 492-nucleotide ribosomal RNA is filed under the name uncultured bacterium. RNAcentral describes it as "partial 16S ribosomal RNA". It matches the Rfam family "Bacterial small subunit ribosomal RNA", at positions 29 to 507 of the family's 1533-position model. The record is from RNAcentral.